This 3544-nucleotide long non-coding RNA is filed under the name Theobroma cacao (cacao). RNAcentral's name for it is "long non-coding RNA (TCAC_LNC004953)". Lineage: Eukaryota; Viridiplantae; Streptophyta; Magnoliopsida; Malvales; Malvaceae. The record is from RNAcentral.
AAAUUUCUAUAUGUACCAGCAGGGUCCCUGGGAAAUAAAUUCUUAUAAACUCCUUUCUAUCUUUCUUUUUUUUUAAUAAUUAAUUUUUACAGAUUCCGCUGGAAGAUUCUUGGCUUAGCAAAGGAAAAGAAGCCCUCUUUAUUCCUGAGCGAACAAAGGUACUAUUAUUUGACUUUCAACAUGCCAUUCAUAAUUUUUCUAGGAAGGAAGAAUGAGGACUUGAAAUAAGCUUGUGUUACUGUUAUCUGUUUAUGUAUAUAUUCAUCUUAUCAUCUUUGGUUUUGAAGGUUAUAGAAUCUUCUUUGCUUAAGAGGUGCCCUCAUUGUUUAGAAAUUCAGAGUAUUGUCCUAGCCGGGAUUGAAAGUAAGUGUGUUUUCAGUUGACAUUUAGUGUAUUUUUUAAUUUGAUGAUAUCUUAGAUAGAAGGCGUUUCUAUAGCUUACAUUAUAUGUUAAAUGGCAUACGAAUGAUUGUAGUUUGGCCGAAAGAGGGAUGUUGAAUUGUCAUUCUCUUUUUGCUUGUCUUAAUGACAUACAUGAUAUAACUAGUAUAGCAAGUUUCAUUCUACACAUGGAGAGAGAGGGUAGAUGUUGUAUGUGGUUGAUGAAACUGUCAGCAUAUCUCAUAUCUCUCAUUAGUCUUGGGGCCUUUGUUUGCAACAUAUAGAGGGUGAAACCGUUAAUUGUUAAAUCUUGUUCAAUUUAGGCAUCUGUUGAUACAACUCAUUUAGCUGGCCCUUGCAAACUAGAACAAUUAAAAAACCAUUGAUUAUCCAUUAAAACACUUGGACUCACGGUCUGAUAUUAGUUUUUUAACUUGCAUACAUUUGUGUGAAGUUAUUAUUAAACCUAGUGCUGCAUAUGGGUCAGGGUGGUUCAGAUAUUAGCUAACUUACUCACUGAGCUGAGGUUUCCUGUUUUUAAAAAUCUCAAACUGAAACCACAUUGAAGGGUAACAAAAACUAAAUGUAACUGAGACCGAAUUAGUUGGUUGUUUUGGUUCGGUUUCUCGGGUUUUUUGUCUUCGUCACAUCGCCCAAAUUUAGUGCAUUUGCAGAUAUUCAAAUCCUUAUUAAACCCUUUCAGAAAUCUUUGCCCCUGAAUCAAAUAAAAAUCACAAAGCUAACCCCAAAAGCAAGGCAUCUUAAAUAAAAAAAUUUCAAAUGUGAUCUCUCAAGUAUUAGUUCUGAUCCCCAACCUUGCAGAAAAAGAGAAGGUGAAAGAAGAUUUUAAAUAUAGAGCUAGAAUUGUGAUAUCUCUGGGCAGUGCUUUGUCGAAGAAAGAAGCUUGAACAAUAUGAAAAAUAAGAAAGUCUAAUGUUAAAAUGGUUGCUUAAGAGAAAAAAGAGAGAAAGAAGCCAGCAGUGAUAAGAGAUUCUGAACUAAAAAACUGGAAUUAGAGAAAGAAAUAAGAAAGAGAAAUUAUAAGAUUAAAAAAUAGUUGAAAAAACAAAGAAGGGUCCCUGGUCGCACUGUAUUCAUGUGACUUGCAUUCAAAUCUAGUGUCAAGUCUCACUUAUGCGUGAGCUGUAAUUUAUUAUUUGAUAGAAUGGUAAGGCGCUGGUUGGUUUGGAUAAAGUCGGAUAUGCACAAAAUCCGAAACCAAAUCAAAUAGAUUGGUUAUCUGAACCUCAUAUCGAUUCGGUUUUCGGUUUGCACAGCCCUAAUGAAACCUGCAUAAGUUGUGCUAUAUGGGAGAAUAUCUGCAAUGGGGCUAUAUUAGACAACUGAGAAGCGGAGCGGAGUUGGAUUAUAUUAGCCCAGUGCGAGCUCUAUAAAUUCCUAAUUGAAAGUCAUUAACAAACCCAUUAAAAUAUGAUCUUUAUGUUAGAAUUUAGCUUUGACAAGGGGGGAGGGAUGAAAUAAUGUUUGAUAUAGAAUGGAGUAUUAAGGUGGUCAGAAAUAAAAUUUGGUUAUCUCCUUCCAGUGUUGUCUAUGCCGUGGACUGAUAUGGCAAUUAUUUUAUCCUACUCUUAAUCAUGUUCACAAAAAGAUCACAGUGGAGGGUAAAAAUAAUUUAAUCGGAUCCUUCACCUGAAUUAAACUACAAGUGGAUUGUUUUCAAUGAAAAUAUAAUAAAUUUAAAAAUUAAUCAAGAGUAAAAUUAAAUUUUUAUCUGUAUCAUAUCAAUAAAUUGACAGAAAUAUUAACGGUCAAUUAACGGUUGGAUUUACGUAUCUAGUGAAAAAUAUUUUUUUAAAAUAAGAUAUUUAUUUUAAAAAUUAAUGAACUUUCGUGUAAUUUGGUUUUAAAUUUAGGGUGGUAAAAAUAUUUUACUCUAAUUUUUUCUUUGCAUCAAAGGACUUGUGCAAUUAUCCUUUGUUUGGUACACACUGCACACAAGUUUCACUGCCCCUAGAAGACUCAAAUGGGUGAUUUAAGACGGUUGAGAUUGAGUAAUUACCUGCAAGACCAGUUUCGAAUUAGAAGUUUUUAUUAAAAACAAAUAUAUAUAUNGUAUAUAAAGCUGCUUUGAAACGCCCACACCCUUUUGUGGAAGGUUUUGAUAUGAAAAGUAUCUAGAGAGUGAAUCUUGAUCCCCCAGACUCAAGCCCCUUAUGUCAAUAAAAUAUUGAAUUCAGCUUUUCAUGGCCUUCUGGAACAUGUAUAUAGAAAUAGAUAGUUGUUUUUGUUUAGUGUAGAAGAAAAUAAAGCGAUGUGUGAAAAGAGCCCAAAACUGGCCAUUUCACAUCAGAAAUGGAAAUGAGGACCAAAACUUGAGAGUUGAGAGUGUUUGAGGGUUAGCCUUUUAAAAUAAUGCAAGGGGACAACAACUUGAGGCUACCUCUUUUUAAAGGUCCAUUACAACACUAGGUUUUAGGGGCUUAUCAAAUUCUUUCAGGUAUACUGAUGUUGAUAAUUCCCUUUCUAUGCAUUCAUAUAUAUAUUUUUUUAAUUUGACUUGCUGGGUUUUUUUUUUUUAAAUAAAAGUAGAGGAAAUUAUGAACAAGUGUCUUAAGGGUGGCAAUGCCAAUGAUUGCUUUGACUUUGCCGAUCACUGUUGCUAUUGUUGACUAAUCAUUGGCAAUGCCAACUUGAGCAUUUACUAAUGUGAAUAGGCAAGUCUCAUUUGCUUUAAGCAGUAGAGCCAUAAUAAUUGUUUUAAAAAAUGUUCAAAUUGUAUGGUUCAGACAUCAAUUCCCCAUGUUCUCUCUCAUAACAACAGCCUCUAUUACUCUUGUUAAAGGAAACCUCAGGGAAUCACUCUGCCCCAUUUCUUGAUAUGCAUGCAGCAGGGGCACCGUUGGUGGAAUAUAACAUCUCCAGACUCCAGUGAAAGGGAAUUGAACCCUUUGCGACCUACCAAAUGGGAUUGGGGAGGCUGUCAGAACAGUCUGUCCUUACAACACUUGAAUGGUUGUCAUAAACUCCAAACUUUAAUUACUAAAACCCAGUUGUGUUGUUCAUUGGCUGGCAAUUGAUGUGAGCUUAUGUGAACUUUGAAGAAUAUCUGUAGUUGCCAAGUCAACUAUUUUAGCCAUUAGGCUUUUCAUGUGAAAAUGAGUGGGCAUGAAGUGACAUUGGAAAAACCCGGCUUUUCCCCCCG